RNAcentral lists this ribosomal RNA (355 nucleotides) under uncultured bacterium. RNAcentral describes it as "bacterial SSU rRNA". It matches the Rfam family "Bacterial small subunit ribosomal RNA", at positions 443 to 793 of the family's 1533-position model. The record is from RNAcentral.
GGUAGUGUAGUUAACACCUGCAUUAUUUGACGUUACCUACAGAAGAAGCACCGGCUAACUCCGUGCCAGCAGCCGCGGUAAUACGGAGGGUGCGAGCGUUAAUCGGAAUUACUGGGCGUAAAGACGCAUGCAGGCGGCCNGUUAAGUCAGAUGUGAAAGACCCGGGGCGUUAACCUCGGAAUUGCAUUUGAAACUGGCAGGCUAGAGUCUUGUAGAGGGGGGUAGGAAUUUCAGGUGUAGCGGUGAAAUGCGUAGAGAUCUGAAGGAAUACCAGUGGCGAAGGCGGCCCCCUGGACAAAGACUGACGCUCAGAUGCGAAAGCGUGGGGAGCAAACAGGAUUAGAUACCCUGGUAG